Molecule: long non-coding RNA, 798 nt
Organism: Sapajus apella (tufted capuchin)
Lineage: Eukaryota; Metazoa; Chordata; Mammalia; Primates; Cebidae
Exons: 3
Source: RefSeq, a predicted model, not a curated record
AUUUCUGUAAGUGCUGUGGUAUCAUCCCUAUGAGGAAAGAAACCCCUCUUUUCUAUCUCGUCUCAAAGAAGGAGGAAGUAAAAGUUGAGACAUAGCAGGCAUGAGGUCAGUGACCUGGAGGUUAAAGAUUACACCCCUACCCACAACCCUUAAUAUCUCAGGGGAUCUUAAGGGUGGGGAGAUAUGGAGAAAUGCCCUCUAUUGUUCCCAUUCGAUCUUGCCCAAACUCCCAUGCUUAAUUCAUGGAUCAUGACCCCCUCACAUGUACUUUCUAAAACUGUAAACCUAAGACCCUUUCACAUGUAAUAUCUAGUUGUAAGCCUAUAUAAAGGCAGAGAUUUCCUUUGUUAGGGGAGCUUGGCUUUUAGGCAACUAUGCCACCUUGUUCCCAGCAGAAUAAAUCAUCCCUUCCUUCCCAGUUUGGUAUUGGAGAGGUCUGUUUCUGGUGGCCACUCUCGCUUCACUUAAACACACAGGAAACAACUUAGGGCAAGAUCACUUGUGAGGAAUGGCAGAAGAGGCUUUAUCAGAAUAUGCCACUUUGGCAAAAGAAUUAUUUUGAGGUAAAGACACUUGAAACAGGGAGGGCGUGCUGAUCUUCCCUUUUCAUUAUCAAAGCAGGAGAUAAAACUUCCAAGUGAAAGAUGUCUUCCCUAAACCAGGAUAAAAGAAACAUUCUUAUUACCAGAGACAGAGCCAAAACCAAGGGAAUUCCAUACAAACAGAUCCUGUUAAAAUAAUUCUGAUUUUUCUUUAGUUGCCCCGUGUACUUUAGUUAUUUUCUCACAGUUGCCUCUC